Molecule: non-coding RNA, 262 nt
Organism: Miniopterus natalensis
Lineage: Eukaryota; Metazoa; Chordata; Mammalia; Chiroptera; Miniopteridae
Source: RefSeq, a predicted model, not a curated record
UUGUGGUUCCACGUGGAGGGAAGCAAGUGGAAAGCAAGACUGCAGACAUGCUCGUGUGGUGUCAGUCGUUUCAUGUAUGUAGCAUAGAACACGGGCACCUAUGGAGACUUUGAUAAAAGACUAGACGGAACCACAUCGGGGUGCAAAUGGUGAUUUCCUCUGAGUGCUUGUGCACUUGGUUUUUCCUGGUCUUGUCGCCCCGAAGCCAAGCACGAGAGGAAGUGCCAGGUGUCAUUAUGAUGGAAUCUGUAUCAAGAAGAGC